RNAcentral lists this non-coding RNA (23 nucleotides) under Arabidopsis thaliana (thale cress). Lineage: Eukaryota; Viridiplantae; Streptophyta; Magnoliopsida; Brassicales; Brassicaceae. The record is from RNAcentral.
GAUCUAGAUAACCAGAGAAUGAU